This 253-nucleotide ribosomal RNA is filed under the name uncultured bacterium. Its description in RNAcentral is "partial 16S ribosomal RNA". It matches the Rfam family "Bacterial small subunit ribosomal RNA", at positions 524 to 776 of the family's 1533-position model. The record is from RNAcentral.
UACGGAGGAUGCAAGCGUUAUCCGGAAUUAUUGGGCGUAAAGCGUCCGCAGGUGGCAUAUCAAGUCUGCUGUCAAAGACCGAAGCUCAACUUCGGGCAGGCAGUGGAAACUGGUAAGCUAGAGUACGGUAGGGGUAGAGGGAAUUUCCAGUGUAGCGGUGAAAUGCGUAGAGAUUGGAAAGAACACCAGUGGCGAAGGCGCUCUACUGGGCCGUAACUGACACUCAGGGACGAAAGCUAGGGGAGCGAAAGGG